Molecule: ribosomal RNA, 1544 nt
Filed under: Triticum aestivum (bread wheat)
Lineage: Eukaryota; Viridiplantae; Streptophyta; Magnoliopsida; Poales; Poaceae
Description: partial small subunit ribosomal RNA
Source: RNAcentral
CCCAUUAAUUUAUAUAAAACGUAGAGAGAAGAAAGGGAAAGGGAAAAGAAAAAGAAAGAUGGGGUUAAUUUUUUAUCUUCUGUUGAAAAGAAAAAAUUCUUCCUUUUUUUAUCUUCCCUUGACCAAGUGAUUAAUGUACAAGAUGGGUUCAACCGGACUCCUUACAGCAGUAAUACACCGGUAUGGGUGCCGUACUAGUGGUACACGAGUGAGAGCGUAGGCCUCGUUCUUUACAACAGUAGCAGCGUUGUGGUACACCACACUGGUCGUUGCAUCAUGCCUGCGCAGGGACAGGUUUCAGAAAUAGCAGCGAGGGGAGGUGAGGUCCUAGCUGGUUUCGUUUUAAUUAGUUGCGCAUACGUACCUCUGCCUCUGCCCGUAGACGCUGGAGGGCGGCCUGACGGACCGGGAGCACCGGAGGGACUGGAGGGGGCCGCUGCGCACGUCCGACCGCCGGUGGCGGUCGCGCGAGGCCCGGCGGCGGCUGAGGCUGCUCCAGACCCCCUCGAAGGAAGGCCGCCUGACCCGGCUGCAGGAGCGCGCCAUGUCGUGGCGGCCGGCGGCGCUCCCACUUUGUUUCUUCCUCGAGAAGAGGGCGGAGACGCCGAGGGGGCAGGAGGAGCUGCCGACGUUGGACCAUUAGAAACGACAACGUCUGAAUUAACAAUCAUCAUGGUAAGCUUUCUAGCUAGUGCUUACUGUAACCGUAGCUAGGCGGCCGGCCCGCUCUUCUCGAAGAGCGACCUGUCCGCAUCGCCGCCGUUCUUCAUGUACUAUGGCCGCUUUCGAGACACGAUGCCCACCUCACCGAUGGGGAUGCCUCCGGAGCGGACCAGCGUGACGGUGGGAGUGAGGUCUAAGGCACUCCACCGACAAGAUAGCGUGAACACGACCGACCUGCACAUACCGUAAAACUUGUGGUUUUUGGAGAGCCCGCAGCCAUCUCCGAUACGGCGGAUAGAGCAUAUGUCCCAUGUAACCAACGUUCGAGGUUUGUGGCGAGUCUUCGUUUCACUCUUACGAUGUCGCAGGAGACAGCGGCGGUAGACGUUGGUACUCACGUUGGUAGACCACGGAGUAUUGAUGAGCGCCAGAGGCAAUACCCUGACCCUGACCCUUGAGUUACCUAGUAGCAGCAGCAGAUGCAACCAUCGGUACUGGCUCUUCUUAGUUUCAGCCUUCGGCGCCGAAUUUGGACUACCACAAACGCACUCCUCGCUGCCUGCUACCCAUCUCGUUCUCUAGUUUUAUCUCAACCUGCUCGUCACACACCUCCCUUUUCUCUCGUUAUAAAGGCAACUCAAGUCUCCCAACUGUCCCAGCGUACCCACGGUCUAAUAGUAUCUCCCCUAGCUCCAUUCUGGCUCUCGUUACCUCUCAGCUUUCGUACAUCUACGACGAAUCUAUCUAUUUAAGUCAGCAUAACACUUCAAACAAACGCAGUCAUAACGUUAAACGUUGAUACAACAUUUGAACUAUAGAAUUAAUUAAAACACGGAAUACAAGCUGAUCACAAAACUGUUGUUUCUAGGUCUUGUUUCGGG